This 629-nucleotide ribosomal RNA is filed under the name uncultured Bacteroidales bacterium. RNAcentral's name for it is "bacterial SSU rRNA". It matches the Rfam family "Bacterial small subunit ribosomal RNA", at positions 87 to 714 of the family's 1533-position model. Lineage: Bacteria; Pseudomonadati; Bacteroidota; Bacteroidia; Bacteroidales. The record is from RNAcentral.
GGCGUCGACCGGCGCACGGGUGAGUAACGCGUAUCCAACCUGCCCACCACUUGGGGAUAACCUUGCGAAAGUAAGACUAAUACCCAAUGAUAUCUCUAGAAGACAUCUGAAAGAGAUUAAAGAUUUAUCGGUGAUGGAUGGGGAUGCGUCUGAUUAGCUUGUUGGCGGGGUAACGGCCCACCAAGGCUACGAUCAGUAGGGGUUCUGAGAGGAAGGUCCCCCACAUUGGAACUGAGACACGGUCCAAACUCCUACGGGAGGCAGCAGUGAGGAAUAUUGGUCAAUGGACGAGAGUCUGAACCAGCCAAGUAGCGUGCAGGAAGACGGCCCUAUGGGUUGUAAACUGCUUUUAUAAGGGAAUAAAGUGAGUCUCGUGAGACUUUUUGCAUGUACCUUAUGAAUAAGGACCGGCUAAUUCCGUGCCAGCAGCCGCGGUAAUACGGAAGGUCCGGGCGUUAUCCGGAUUUAUUGGGUUUAAAGGGAGCGUAGGCCGGAGAUUAAGCGUGUUGUGAAAUGUAGAUGCUCAACAUCUGCACUGCAGCGCGAACUGGUUUCCUUGAGUACGCACAAAGUGGGCGGAAUUCGUGGUGUAGCGGUGAAAUGCUUAGAUAUCACGAAGAACUCCGAUU